This 1695-nucleotide unclassified non-coding RNA is filed under the name Acyrthosiphon pisum (pea aphid). RNAcentral's name for it is "ubiquitin-like-specific protease 1, transcript variant X1". Lineage: Eukaryota; Metazoa; Arthropoda; Insecta; Hemiptera; Aphididae. The record is from RNAcentral.
UUCUGUUUUCUAAAAAUUAUCUGGACCCUCCCCAUGACAAAUUCCUAAAUACGCCACUGGUUGAGUGUACAUUGUGUGUAAUGUGUAGGGCUGGGUUUUUAAUGCCCUAGAAAAACCCGAAAAAUUUCCUAAAAAAAAUGCUUUUAUGACCUAAAAACUCUAAAUAAUGUCCUAAAAAAACCCGAAAAAUGCUCUAAAAAAAAAAACGCUUUUAUGAUCUAAACAUUUUUUGUUUUUAAUAAUUUUAGUAUAAAUUUCAAUAAAAAGUUUUAAAAAAUGCACUAUAAAAAUCUAUUACAUGCGUAAACAGAAUAACACUAAUCCGUCGGUAUAAAAAAUAUUAUGUCCAAAUUCUUGUACAAACGCACGCAGUCGACUCGCUGUCGAACAUUUUACUUUUGGCAUUUUUAUAUUAAAUUGUUAAAAAAAAUUAACUAGAGUAAUAAAACGGUGUUAACGACGACAAAACUCGUACUGAACGUCGAACGAUAUCAUCGGACGUCAAUUUUACCGAUUUAAGAUUAUUUAACAGGAAAUGCGUGUAGAGGUUACUCAAACCUUGUCCGAUAAUGGCGAUAAGCCGAUAAUAUAAUACGAAUUACGAGUACCUACUUAUUAAUCUAGCAUUAAAAUCCCAGCCCUAGUUAAUUUAUUUAAAAGCCAUGCUGGUGUAAAAAUCUUAAAAGAAAAUUUCAAAUUCAUACACUUGGUUUCCAAAAACUCAAAUAAUGCUCCAAAAACUCUAAAAUGCCCUAAAAAUUAAGAAAAUGACCUAAAAACUAAAAAAUGCAAAAAAAUGCAAAAUAAACUUUCUUAUUCUCAUUCAAAUGUACAUUAAACAAAUUUGUGACAAGACGAGCAUUGCACAGUAAGCUUUGGAAAACAAUGCAAAGUGCAUCGAAAUCCCAGCCCUAGUAAUGUGUAUCCCUCUACAUCGUGUUUUAUUGUUAUCACUUAUCAUUAAGUCAGUGGGCGGCGGGUGUACAAGUGACGUUUAGUACUAGCAAUUGAUAGCCGAUGCCAUCGGUGAAAAAGCGUCGCUCGACGCUCACUGAUAAUGAAAUAAAGCUAACCUAUAAACACGUAUCUCGGUGAACUAGCUGCAGCCGAACAGCAGCUCCGUCUAGCGUACGCGAUUCGUUUUCGUCAUUCCGCAUUAUUGGCGUCUGCACCUACCUUCUGCGCGUCUUGUCGGUAAGAUUUAUUAUAAUAACAAUAUGUUAACAUUGUCAUUUUUAUUAUUCUCUACCAUUUCACUUGUUCGCAAGUCACACGAUAUUCGUUUUUACGUUACACUCGUUUCUCAACGUACAACGAAUGAUUGAAAACCCGGUGGCCGUCGGGCUAAUUACUCAACCGUAGGUACAUGAUAUCGAUUAGUCGCCGUCUACCGCUACACGUCAGUCGUUUGGUUUCCCCAUCUCCGAUCAAGUCUCAACACUGUCGUCAGAACACUCCAUCAACCUCUUAACGAUCAAGAUUUUCAAGGGAGAAAUUACAGAUACAUAUCUGAUCAAUUUUGAGUGUUCAAUAAGUGACAUAAUAUACAGUAUUCCAGUGCAAGGGCGGAUCUAGGAGGAUUUUUUAUGGUGGGUGCUAGUUUGCGUUUAAUGGUCCUAAGAUACUUAUUAUAGUUAUUAUACCUAGAAAAAAAAAAUAAUAGUUUUAAGCUUAAACGGCUAAGAAAAUUAGUCU